Paramuricea clavata is the source of this 73-nucleotide non-coding RNA. The record is from the annotation of a GenBank genome assembly. NCBI's taxonomy places the organism in Eukaryota, Metazoa, Cnidaria, Anthozoa, Malacalcyonacea, Plexauridae.
GCCUCUGCAGUUCAGUUGGUCAGAGCGCUGCACCGGAAUCGCAGGGUUGCAGGUUCCAUUCCUGCCAGGGACC